UUAGGUGUGGCUCAGUGGUAGAGCGUAUGGUUAGCAGGAGCAGGGCCUUGGGUUCGAUUCCCAGCACCAAAG
Molecule: transfer RNA, 72 nt
Filed under: Cavia porcellus (domestic guinea pig)
Lineage: Eukaryota; Metazoa; Chordata; Mammalia; Rodentia; Caviidae
Rfam family: tRNA
About the family: Transfer RNA (tRNA) molecules are approximately 80 nucleotides in length. Their secondary structure includes four short double-helical elements and three loops (D, anti-codon, and T loops).
Source: Rfam by way of RNAcentral